GAUCAACGCUGGCGGCGUGCCUAAUGCAUGCAAGUCGGGCGGGGUCCCUUUCGGGGGGCUCACGCGGCGGACGGGUGCGUAACACGUGGGCAACCUACCCUGGGGCGGGGGAUAGCCACCGGAAACGGUGGGUAAUUCCGCGUACGCUCAUCCUCCGGUGGGGAGGAUGAGGAAAGGCGCAAGCCACCCUUGGCGGGGCCUGCGGCCGAUUAGCUAGUUGGGGGGGUAACGGCUUCCCAAGGCGAUGAUCGGUAGCUGGUCUGAGAGGACGGCCAGCCACACGGGGACUGAGAGACGGCCCCGACUCCUACGGGAGGCAGCAGCAAGGAAUCUUCCGCAAUGGGCGAUGAGCCUGACGGAGCAACGCCGCGUGGGGGAUGAGGCCCUUCGGGGUGUAAACCCCUUUUCUGUGGGAAGAAGAUCUGACGGUACCACAGGAAGAAGGACCGGCUAACUACGUGCCAGCCGCCGCU
Molecule: ribosomal RNA, 473 nt
Filed under: uncultured bacterium
Lineage: Bacteria
Description: bacterial SSU rRNA
Rfam family: Bacterial small subunit ribosomal RNA
Source: RNAcentral